Molecule: small nuclear RNA, 170 nt
Filed under: Erinaceus europaeus (western European hedgehog)
Lineage: Eukaryota; Metazoa; Chordata; Mammalia; Eulipotyphla; Erinaceidae
Description: 7SK RNA
Rfam family: 7SK RNA
About the family: 7SK was discovered as an abundant small nuclear RNA in the mid-70s but a possible function has only recently been suggested. Two independent studies have found that 7SK RNA binds the CDK9/cyclin T complex (known as elongation factor P-TEFb).
Source: Rfam by way of RNAcentral
AGAUGUGAGGGCGAUCUAGCUGAGACAUCUGUCACCCGGGGUUGAUUCGGCUGAUCUGGCUGGCUGGGUGGGUGUCCCCUUUCUCCUUCGCCACUCCGUAUGUGUCCCUCCCAAGGUGGGAGAGUGUGGGGGUGCAGAUCCCCCAAGCUGGGCAGAGGCCUGUCACUGAU